Molecule: ribosomal RNA, 645 nt
Filed under: Phloiotrya flavitarsis
Lineage: Eukaryota; Metazoa; Arthropoda; Insecta; Coleoptera; Melandryidae
Description: eukaryotic LSU rRNA
Rfam family: Eukaryotic large subunit ribosomal RNA
Source: RNAcentral
GGAGUCUAGCAUGUGCGCGAGUCAUUGGGAACUUUUCAGUUAGACCCAGAGGCGCAAUGAAAGUGAAGGUCCGCCUCGCGCGGACCGAGGGAGGAUGGGCGUGUCCGUCCGAAAGGCGGCCGCCUCGCACUCCCGGGGCGUCUCGUUCUCAUUGCGAGAAGAGGCGCACCAAGAGCGUACACGCUGGGACCCGAAAGAUGGUGAACUAUGCCUGGUCAGGACGAAGUCAGGGGAAACCCUGAUGGAGGUCCGUAGCGAUUCUGACGUGCAAAUCGAUCGUCGGAACUGGGUAUAGGGGCGAAAGACUAAUCGAACCAUCUAGUAGCUGGUUCCCUCCGAAGUUUCCCUCAGGAUAGCUGGCGCUCGUAGCGUACGAGUUUCAUCCGGUAAAGCGAAUGAUUAGAGGCAUUGGGGUCGAAACGGCCUCAACCUAUUCUCAAACUUUAAAUGGGUGAGAUCUCCGGCUUGCUCGAACUCUUGAAGCCGCGAGACUCGAAUCAGAGUGCCAAGUGGGCCAUUUUUGGUAAGCAGAACUGGCGCUGUGGGAUGAACCAAACGCCGAGUUAAAGCGCCUAAAUCGACGCUUAUGGGAUACCAUGAAAGGCGUUGGUAACUUAAGACAUCAGGACGGUGGCCAUGGAAGUC